Molecule: transfer RNA, 30 nt
Filed under: Rosa rubiginosa (sweetbriar rose)
Lineage: Eukaryota; Viridiplantae; Streptophyta; Magnoliopsida; Rosales; Rosaceae
Description: partial tRNA-Val
Source: RNAcentral
UUAGUUAAAUUUCUAUCUAAUUAAAUAAAA